RNAcentral lists this transfer RNA (76 nucleotides) under Deltaproteobacteria bacterium. RNAcentral's name for it is "tRNA-Gly". It matches the Rfam family "tRNA". Rfam says of the family: Transfer RNA (tRNA) molecules are approximately 80 nucleotides in length. The record is from RNAcentral. Lineage: Bacteria; Pseudomonadati; Myxococcota; Myxococcia. RNAcentral also lists the same sequence under 2 other names.
GCGGGAAUAGCUCAGCUGGUAGAGCGUCAGCCUUCCAAGCUGAAUGUCACGGGUUCGAAUCCCGUUUCCCGCUCCA